Molecule: long non-coding RNA, 860 nt
Organism: Bos taurus (domestic cattle)
Lineage: Eukaryota; Metazoa; Chordata; Mammalia; Artiodactyla; Bovidae
Source: Ensembl
GCACUACACCACAUUCUCCGUGCUCAGCCUGCUACGGAAGUCCUGUUCAUUAAGCAGCAGAGAUGGGUGGAAGUGAAGACCAGCAGUUCAAAGGUCCUUCUAGCGUCUCCACCAGGUGUGUUCACAGCUGAACACUCGUUUUGUUAUGACUGAGAAGUUGCUCACAGCUCCAAGUCUCCAUUCUGCUCUUGGGAACUCCAUCUAGGACAUUCGUGUGGAACUCCAUGGAGAUGACAAGAAAUGAUUUGGGACUUCCCAGACCACAGAGAAGCCUACGGAAGUGCAGCAAGACAUUUGAAACAAUACUUGACUCUCACCAUCACCGUUGCUUCAAGACGCAUUCAGUCCUUAACGCUUUGUGAUCUGAUGUCCAUCUGGGCCACCCUCCUGAAGAAACGCUUCGUCAAGAAAUCUAAGGAAUUCCUGCUUUGUAAGCCCAGUGGACCCUUUCAAUUUUCAUCUGACAGUUCCUUUAUGCAACACGUAGCGCCGCUAACCACUCCUUCCUUUUGGAAACACUCUUCUUUGGCUCCCCAAACACCAUCGUCCUGCCCCUCUGACCACUCCGGCUCAGUCUCUUUCCCAGUGCUCCUCUUCCUCAGACCAACCAUGAAAAGCCCCUGGUACUCUAUCUUCUCUAAAGCGUCUUCCUGACUGAUCUCACCCAUAUACUGAUGAAAACUUUAUUUACAGCCCCAACUUUUUCCUGGGCUUUGUAGAAAUAUAUCUAAUUACAUAUCAUGGCCACAGUUACUGACUUCACUGCCCUGAUUCAGUGCCUCACAUCCCUCAUUUCAUUAUUGGAUCUUUAAAAAGGGUCUUGACUAAUCUUGCCUCCAAGAUUGUCUUCCCUCCAGCUC